CCCCCUUUAAAGAGUUUAGUUCACUCCAUAUGCUUGAGCACAAAGAGCACAAUUCAGCCAAAGGUUCAACAGCAGUUUAGCUUCCUACAAUGAAUCCCCAAGUUGACCUCCCUGUUUUCAAACCCAGCUAUGCUGCCAGACAAAACUUCUGCUCUCACCAGGCGCGUUCCAAGUGACUCCCCACUCCACCGAAACUUCGCAUCAUGCAUCUUUUAGCAUAAGGAAGCUGGACAGACAUCACCAGCGGUAGGACUUGGAUCCAAAGAUUGCCUUUAAUUAAAACCUUCAUGUGACAAACAAAAGGGAAAACAAAAGAGUAGGCUUUUCCACCGAGCCAAAUGGAAUCUAUUCAAUGUGCUUUAUAACCCAGGCACCCUUUUUAAACACAGCGCCAUGUGUGUGAAGGGGAACUCUUGUCUCUCGCCUGUCUUAGAUUAGCAUGGGACUGGAGCCAUUACAGUGGUCUGCUUUCUGCAAGCUUGAAGCUGAAAUUUACACAAUGCAGAGAACUGGCCCAGCUCCGCAGCCACUUUAGACUUGCAUCUUGCGCUACAUAAAAGCCAAUGUUCCACACGUCGUUCUUUUAAAAGCCACCAUUGUUCUCAUCCAUAACUGAGCAAUUCAGCCUUUGCUUUAAAGGCGGGAACUCAACCAAGCUACUGCUUACAAAUUCCAGAUCUUCUCCGAUUGCACACACAGAAUAACGUUUUGUUACACUGCGCUUUUGUCAUGGGUUUGGUUAUUAUUAUGUGAAGCCAAGUUUCAUUUUUCAUAUAUUUUAAGAAACAAGACAUUGUCAGUUGAAACCUUUAACAAUUUCAAGGCUCUGGGUUAGCAUUAAAU
This is a long non-coding RNA of Podarcis raffonei (Aeolian wall lizard), 843 nucleotides long. RefSeq lists it as uncharacterized. The transcript has 3 exons. Lineage: Eukaryota; Metazoa; Chordata; Lepidosauria; Squamata; Lacertidae. The record is from RefSeq and is a predicted model, not a curated record.